This 164-nucleotide ribosomal RNA is filed under the name uncultured bacterium. RNAcentral's name for it is "partial 16S rRNA". It matches the Rfam family "Bacterial small subunit ribosomal RNA", at positions 355 to 511 of the family's 1533-position model. The record is from RNAcentral.
UAGGGAAUCUUCCACAAUGGGCGAAAGCCUGAUGGAGCAACGCCGCGUGUGUGAUGAAGGGUUUCGGCUCGUAAAACACUGCUGUAAGAGAAGAAUGACAUUGAGAGUAACUGUUCAAUGUGUGACGGUAUCUUACCAGAAAGGAACGGCUAAAUACGUGUCAG